This 497-nucleotide ribosomal RNA is filed under the name uncultured bacterium. RNAcentral's name for it is "partial 16S ribosomal RNA". It matches the Rfam family "Bacterial small subunit ribosomal RNA", at positions 28 to 507 of the family's 1533-position model. The record is from RNAcentral.
GAUGAACGCUGGCGGCGUGCCUAAUACAUGCAAGUCGAGCGAACAGACGAGGAGCUUGCUCCUCUGACGCUAGCGGCGGACGGGUGAGUAACACGUGGAUAACCUACCUAUAAGACUGGGAUAACUUCGGGAAACCGGAGCUAAUACCGGAUAAUAUAUUGAACCGCAUGGUUCAAUAGUGAAAGACGGUUUUGCUGUCACUUAUAGAUGGAUCCGCGCCGCAUUAGCUAGUUGGUAAGGUAACGGCUUACCAAGGCAACGAUGCGUAGCCGACCUGAGAGGGUGAUCGGCCACACUGGAACUGAGACACGGUCCAGACUCCUACGGGAGGCAGCAGUAGGGAAUCGUACGCAAUGGGCGAAAGCCUGACGGAGCAACGCCGCGUGAGUGAUGAAGGUCUUCGGAUCGUAAAACUCUGUUAUUAGGGAAGAACAAAUGUGUAAGUAACUAUGCACGUCUUGACGGUACCUAAUCAGAAAGCCACGGCUAACUACGUG